GCUAAUUGUGUGCUAAAAGUAUAAAUAGGUUUGAGUGUGUAGCCUGGUUCCAGUGCAUCAGCAUGGAGCAGGCUGUGUGGCUGCUGGGUCUCCUGUGUCUGCAGGUCUGUCUGCUCUCCACCACGGCCCUCCCUGGACCAGACAGACGGACGGCAGCCUUGCAAACCAACCAAGCCAUGGAAGGAUCCUCUCCAGUCAUACCACGACCACCACCACCACCACCGCAGAAUUCACAGGAGGAAGUAAGGAGUGAAUGCAAGAGAAACAGUGAAAUAUGUCGCUCUCGUAGUGGAGCCAUGGGACCCAUGGGAAUCAAGAUGUGUCUUCAGGGACCCAACAGGGUAAGAGACGGCCAAACACAAAUUAUGAAGAACCAGAGGUCCUCAGUAAACAAAGUCUGAGAAAUGGCUUGGUGACCUGACAGAUUUAAAGGACAUUAAAUGGACAUUCUCUUCUCCUUAUAUAGUAUAACAACAUGCAAUCACAAACCCCUGCUUGCCUCUAGUCUACGACCCAAUAUAGUGUACAUGUAUGCCUAUAUAAAACACUUCCAAUCACUUUUUCUUACCGAUUUUGUCAAAUCCAAAAUGCAGCACUCAAAGAGGUCCUGUCUUUUGUGUUCGUUAUUAGAAAUGAUUUCCACUCUCUGAUGCUUCUCUCCUCUAGCCUCAGAGUUCAUGGAUUAAGACACAGGAAGAAUCUGGAAAUGUGUCGCUCCCCCGUAGGAGCCAUGAGUCUAGUCUCCUCUUGUGGAAUAACAAUAUGUAAUCACUCUCAACAGGGACACACCACCAUUCCAACAUCCUAGACCUUAUCCUCCUCCAUUUCUGGAGAGAAACAAAGAAAAUAACACAUUUAAUAAGAACCAGUGUUCUUGUUUCCACCUCUGACCCUUCUCUCCUCUGACCUCAGAGUUUAAGAACUAAGAAGCAGGUGAAAGUCAAGCUAAACAUCGCAAAGAAAAUGCCACAAAUGCUUCACUCCAAUUCAGGAAGCUUGUCUAGUGUCCAUGCCUAGACCACUCUGUUGGGACCAAGAGGCAGCAGAGGCAGCAGAGGCAGGAGAGGCAGAAGAAAGCCAAGAACAAAUGCAAGAAUAUGCUUCAAAAUGGUGUUGCACGCACUUUGGAGCCACGACUCCAACUUGGCGGCCAGUGGCUCAUGAAGACAAUCACAUAUUCACCCCUUUCUGCUGGCUUAUCAUUAUUAUAAUAUCUGUGUUGGCAUAUUAUUUCUCUGUCUGAUUUUAGACUUCAAAACAGUGUAAAAGUUAUUUCCAAAGAAAAUGGGUUGUUGUUAUUACUGUCUUACUAUUAUCAUUAUUAGUAGUCAUGGUAGGAUCUGUAUAUCACACACUGACAAAGACCAAACCAACAGCCUGGAAAGCCAAGAUCAACUCCCUCUUGUCUGAC
Molecule: long non-coding RNA, 1411 nt
Organism: Oncorhynchus tshawytscha (Chinook salmon)
Lineage: Eukaryota; Metazoa; Chordata; Actinopteri; Salmoniformes; Salmonidae
Source: Ensembl